CCUACGGGAGGCAGCAGUGGGGAAUCUUGGACAAUGGGGGAAACCCUGAUCCGGCAAUGCCGCGUGUGGGAUGAAGGCCCUCGGGUUGUAAACCACUUUUGGCAGGAAAGAAAUCGCCUGUGCUAAUACCAUGGGCGGAUGACGGUACCUGCAGAAUAAGCACCGGCUAACUACGUGCCAGCAGCCGCGGUAAUACGUAGGGUGCGAGCGUUAAUCGGAAUUACUGGGCGUAAAGCGUGCGCAGGCGGUUUUGUAAGACAGAUGUGAAAUCCCCGGGCUUAACCUGGGAACUGCAUUUGUGACUGCAAGACUAGAGUGUGUCAGAGGGAGGUGGAAUUCCGCGUGUAGCAGUGAAAUGCGUAGAGAUGCGGAAGAACACCGAUGGCGAAGGCAGCCUCCUGGGAUAACACUGACGCUCAGGCACGAAAGCGUGGGGAGCAAACAGGAUUAGAUACCCUGGUAGUCCACGCCCUAAACGAUGUCAACUAGUUGUUGGGGAUUCAUUUCCUUAGUAACGUAGCUAACGCGUGAAGUUGACCGCCUGGGGAGUACGGCCGCAAGGUUAAAACUCAAAUGAAUUGACGG
This 585-nucleotide ribosomal RNA is filed under the name uncultured bacterium. RNAcentral describes it as "bacterial SSU rRNA". It matches the Rfam family "Bacterial small subunit ribosomal RNA", at positions 338 to 916 of the family's 1533-position model. The record is from RNAcentral.